AUUUGGUGUUGUGGGCAACUAUAGCACAAGUUGUUGAACCUCUCCCAAUAAUCAUGGAAAGUCUCAUUUUGAUCUUGGCGGAUUCCACAAAUCUCAUUUCUAAGACU
Small nucleolar RNA from Lactuca sativa (garden lettuce), 107 nucleotides. NCBI's taxonomy places the organism in Eukaryota, Viridiplantae, Streptophyta, Magnoliopsida, Asterales, Asteraceae. The record is from RefSeq and is a predicted model, not a curated record.